RNAcentral lists this ribosomal RNA (458 nucleotides) under uncultured prokaryote. RNAcentral's name for it is "bacterial SSU rRNA". It matches the Rfam family "Bacterial small subunit ribosomal RNA", at positions 342 to 791 of the family's 1533-position model. The record is from RNAcentral.
CGGGGGGCAGCAGUGGGGAAUCUUGCGCAAUGGACGAAAGUCUGACGCAGCAACGCCGCGUGAGUGAAGAAGGCCUUUGGGUUGUAAAGCUCUUUCGACUGGAAAGAAGGGUUUCGUUGCGAAUAGUUACGGAACUUGACGGUACCAGGAGAAGAAGUCCCGGCUAACUUCGUGCCAGCAGCCGCGGUAAUACGAAGGGGACAAGCGUUGUUCGGAAUCAUUGGGCGUAAAGGGCGCGUAGGCGGACCUGUAAGUCGAUUGUGAAAUCCCUGGGCUUAACCCGGGAAUUGCAGUCGAAACUACAAGUCUUGAGUACUGGAGAGGAUGGUGGAAUUCCUGGAGUAGUAGUGAAAUACGUAGAUAUCAGGAGGAACACCGGAGGCGAAGGCGGCCAUCUGGCCAGUCACUGACGCUGAGGCGCGAAAGCAUGGGGAGCAAACAGGAUUAGAUACCCCCGU